UACGUAGGGAGCAAGCGUUGUCCGGAAUCAUUGGGCGUAAAGCGCGCGUAGGCGGCCCUGUAAGUCCGUUGUGAAAGUCAAAGGCUCAACCUUUGAAAGCCGAUGGAUGCUGCAGGGCUAGAGUCCGGAAGAGGCGAGUGGAAUUCCUGGUGUAGCGGUGGAAUGCGCAGAUAUCAGGAGGAACACCAAUAGCGAAGGCAGCUCGCUGGGACGGUACUGACGCUAAGGCGCGAAAGCGUGGGGAGCGAACAGG
RNAcentral lists this ribosomal RNA (253 nucleotides) under uncultured bacterium. RNAcentral's name for it is "partial 16S ribosomal RNA". It matches the Rfam family "Bacterial small subunit ribosomal RNA", at positions 524 to 776 of the family's 1533-position model. The record is from RNAcentral.